This 252-nucleotide ribosomal RNA is filed under the name uncultured bacterium. RNAcentral's name for it is "partial 16S ribosomal RNA". It matches the Rfam family "Bacterial small subunit ribosomal RNA", at positions 524 to 776 of the family's 1533-position model. The record is from RNAcentral.
UACGUAGGGGGCUAGCGUUAUCCGGAAUUACUGGGCGUAAAGGGUGCGUAGGUGGUUUCUUAAGUCAGAGGUGAAAGGCUACGGCUCAACCGUAGUAAGCCUUUGAAACUGGGAAACUUGAGUGCUGGGGAGGAGAGUGGAAUUCCUAGUGUAGCGGUGAAAUGCGUAGAUAUUAGGAGGAACACCAGUUGCGAAGGCGGCUCUCUGGACUGUAACUGACACUGAGGCACGAAAGCGUGGGGAGCAAACAGG